UUUCUUCUAAUUUCUAAAAUUGAAACAAUUACUAUGAUCUACAAAAUUUGAAGAACAACUAUGAAUCAAUAAUUUACUGCUAUAAUCAACAAAGGAUAAAUUAACUUCAUCUGACACAUGCUGAAUAAUCUACAUAAAUAUGAUUGCAAGUCAUGGCAAGUAUUCGUAAGUGAUUUGAGAAAGUCCAUGCAUGGGAGCAGGACAAAGAGAAAUAAUCUGAUCAUCCCUAAGAGGUUUCAAGAAUGAGCAAUUGCGUAAAGCUGAGUCCUGGAAGGCUGCCUGUAGGGGGCAGUAUGUGGUCUGGCCUUAAGGACAAACGGAAUUUUCACCGGAGAAGACUGUGGCGGGGGCUUUUCAGGAGGAAUGAAUAGGAAGAGUACAGGAGGCUGUAUAGCAGCAGGUGGCUUUGUUUGGUUGGAAAACACUCCAAGUGAAAAGGCAUUGUGAAGAAUGGAAGAGCUACUGAGAAACCAGCCUAUGGAGUUUGGCUGUCUCUCCUAGUCACAAAUAAGGAGCUGUUACUGGUUUUUGUCAAAAGAACAGGAUGAUCACAUCUGUGCCUUAGGACACUUUAGAUGGGGCAGAACAGGUACAGGGGAUGUGGUGGGGGAAGAAAUGACUCGAUUUCAAACAAAUCAAAUAAAUUACUUUGAUGUUUAAAAAAAAAAAAUAAAAUUGUUUGUUUUUAUAGAAAUAGUGUUACUGGGUAAACAGGUAUGAAAAUCAUUGAACUGAGAUAUAAUGGGAAAUUACUUUCUACAAAGAUGGUACCAACCUAUAUUCUGACUAGCAGUGGUUUAAAGUGCUCUCAAGAGUACUUGAUAAUACAUUUAAUUUUUUUUUUGUACUUACAAUGGGCCAGUAACCAUUUCAGUCUCCAGAAAUAUGGUGGCAAACAUACAUCUUUGCUACUGUAGAGCUUAAAUUCUAAAUAGACAAGAGCAUUUCACAACUGGUAAGUGCUAUAAAGAAAAUUAGGGGAAGAAAGUGGAAAGUUAUUGCCAUCUGAGGCUAUAAGCACAUUAGAUAAAGUGACCAGGAAGAUUCCUUUGAGGAAGUGAUAUUUAAGCUGAGACCUGAAUAAUGAGAAGGAUCUACCCCAUGAAGACCAACGGGAAGAAUUUUUUU
This 1128-nucleotide long non-coding RNA is filed under the name Homo sapiens (human). RNAcentral describes it as "HSALNT0335136". The record is from RNAcentral. Lineage: Eukaryota; Metazoa; Chordata; Mammalia; Primates; Hominidae.